Molecule: ribosomal RNA, 475 nt
Filed under: uncultured organism
Description: partial 16S ribosomal RNA
Rfam family: Bacterial small subunit ribosomal RNA
Source: RNAcentral
ACUCCUGCGGGAGGCAGCAGUGGGGAAUUUUGGACAAUGGGCGAAAGCCUGAUCCAGCAAUGCCGCGUGAGUGAAGAAGGCCUUCGGGUUGUAAAGCUCUUUUGUCAGGGAAGAAACGGUGAAAGCUAAUAUCUUUUGCUAAUGACGGUACCUGAAGAAUAAGCACCGGCUAACUACGUGCCAGCAGCCGCGGUAAUACGUAGGGUGCAAGCGUUAAUCGGAAUUACUGGGCGUAAAGCGUGCGCAGGCGGUUUUGUAAGUCUGAUGUGAAAUCCCCGGGCUCAACCUGGGAAUUGCAUUGGGGACUGCAAGGCUAGAAUCUGGCAGAGGGGGGUAGAAUUCCACGUGUAGCAGUGAAAUGCGUAGAUAUGUGGAGGAACACCGAUGGCGAAGGCAGCCCCCUGGGUCAAGAUUGACGCUCAUGCACGAAAGCGUGGGGAGCAAACAGGAUUAGAUACCCUGGUAGUCCCAUGAU